This is a long non-coding RNA of Oncorhynchus tshawytscha (Chinook salmon), 1168 nucleotides long. RefSeq lists it as uncharacterized. NCBI's taxonomy places the organism in Eukaryota, Metazoa, Chordata, Actinopteri, Salmoniformes, Salmonidae. The record is from RefSeq and is a predicted model, not a curated record. The transcript has 3 exons.
GGUAAAGAUGUUAUCUUUAGGCUCUGCUCAGAUCCGUUUCCCGGACUCACAUUAAGCCUGGUCCUAGACUAAAUGUCAAGGUAUUCGUCGUCGGAAGAUGAGGAAUCAUCGGACCAAAGCGCAGUGUGGAAACAACGCAGCGGUCCAGCCCAACUGGAAGACUGGUGCAGAAUGCCGUGUCCAAGGGGCUAACUGGCAUAGCCUGCUCAGAUGAGCAGUGACAAUGGAGUUCAGGGACUCGGAGGAACCUUGAGCCAAAGUGGUUAAACAGCAUUGACUUCCCACACCAUAAGGCCAGUGACCAAUAUGCAGAAAAGCGUCCGGAAUGUCCACCUCUGGUUCCCACUCCUGCCUCCCACCUCUGGUUCCCACUCCUGCCUCCCACCCCUGGUUCCCACUCCUGCCUCCCACCCCUGCCUCCCACCCCUGGUUCCCACUCCUGCAUUCCACUCACAGGAGGAAUUUAAUAGGAGCCUGAGACACCUGCAUCUGCCUGUGGGGAAUCUGCUCUAUGAGUGUGUUAAUGCUGAACCGACAAUAACAUCACAGCCAGUAGCAUCCCAGGUAAAAUUGGACGGAAAGGAAUAUUUAUUUAUGGCUGUACCAUUUUCAAUGUAUUUGAAGAUAAUGAGCUCCCAGUGGCUGGAAGAAUGUGGAUACUCUGUGGACCACAGAGGCACUGAUGUCAGUGUUGAAGAGCCAUGGUUAUCAGCAAGCCCUGGUGGAAUACUGAAAUCCAAGGAGUUGUUGAAGAUCAAGUGUCCUGUCAUGGGGUAGAGGCUGUGAUUUUCUGGAUGAUGUCUUCAAUAGGAAAGUGAUGUGAAGGUGAUGGAGGACUACACCUCGACUGCAACCACAUGGGCCACGUGGCUACAACAUGCAGGUACAAAUUGGUCUGUUUCGCACAGGACUGAGAGAAAGUAAGGUGUUCAUCUGGACUGCAUCCCAGCAAGUUGUCAUCCCUGUUCCCUAUGAUACACAGUCCUGUGCAGAGGCUGUCCUGAGGUUGAAGGCAUUCUACUCAACACACAUGCUGACAUUUAUUGUUGAGGAGCAUCAGGCAGAUUGUCACUGAGUGACAAAUAUAUAUAUGCAGCUCUGUAGAAGUAUGUAGUCAGAUGUCUCACCUGUUUGCAGUUACUAUUAAAACCUUGUUUUUCAAUUAAAA